This 492-nucleotide ribosomal RNA is filed under the name uncultured bacterium. Its description in RNAcentral is "partial 16S ribosomal RNA". It matches the Rfam family "Bacterial small subunit ribosomal RNA", at positions 29 to 507 of the family's 1533-position model. The record is from RNAcentral.
AGUGAACGCUGGCGGUAGGCCUAACACAUGCAAGUCGAACGGCAGCACAGUAAGAGUUUGCUCUUACGGGUGGCGAGUGGCGGACGGGUGAGGAAUACAUCGGAAUCUACUUUUUCGUGGGGGUUAACGUAGGGAAACUUACGCUAAUACCGCAUACGACCUACGGGUGAAAGCAGGGGAACUUCGGACCUUGCGCGAUUGAAUGAGCCGAUGUGGCAUUAGCUAGUUGGCGGGGCAAAGGCCUACCAAGGCGACGAUCCGUAGCUGGUCUGAGAGGAUGAUCAGCCACACUGGGACAGGGACACGGUCCAGACUCCUACGGGAGGCAGCAGUGGGGAAUUUUGGACAAUGGGCGCAAGCCUGAUCCAGCCAUACCGCGUGGGUGAAGAAGGCCUUCGGAUUGUAAAGCCCUUUUGUUGGGAAAGAAAAGCAGCAAGUUAAUACCCCGCUGUUCUGACGGUACCCAAAGAAUAAGCACCGGCUAACUACGUG